Molecule: long non-coding RNA, 1559 nt
Organism: Fundulus heteroclitus (mummichog)
Lineage: Eukaryota; Metazoa; Chordata; Actinopteri; Cyprinodontiformes; Fundulidae
Exons: 4
Source: RefSeq, a predicted model, not a curated record
GAAUAUUUCUCAAGAGGAUUGGCUAUACCAUCAGUCACAAUAGUCGGCCCAAUUGAUGACGGGGCACUGCUGAGCUGUGAAGUUCUUAAAGCUUCUCCUGAACUCACUGUAGUCUGGUAUGACAGUGCUGGAAACAACGUUUCUAAUAAAGCACCACAGAUCACUGACAAAGGGCAAACCUUAUAUGAUGUGAUCCUGGAGACCACAGUGACCAAGACAGACAACUACACCUGUGUAGCCACACAGGUGGAUCGUCACCAUCGGUUUAAAAAAACUACAUAUGUGAAUACCAGAGGUAAAGGAAUCUCAGUUACUCCCAGUUUGGUCCUCAUUGGAAUUACCAUUGGAGUUCUUACUGGAGUUUAAGUACUACAGAAAAUAACUCUUCAGGUAUGACAGAUGACAGGACCGAUGACAACUGAACCCAACAACCAAUGACGGGGAGUUGAAACAACCAAAGCCUCUAAGCUAAGGAAGAGAUGAGGAUUGAUUGAUGUUUUUCUCAAUAAGAAGAAUUGAGUCAAUCAUUUGAACAUAAAUAGAAAUGAGAUAUACAAAAUUUUCCUCUAAAUAAAAUUUAUCAGGUAUAUUUACCCUGAUAUCUGACAUUGAUUAAUGAUUGAAGUAAGUUGUCUGAAAAGGGGUAUGAAGAAGUAAAACUUAUUUUUCAUACCCCUUCUCCCUCUAUUUGCACUUAAAGUAACUUAAAGUACCUUUCUGUUAAACAACAAUGUUUUUGAUCCAAAAUUCACAAAAAUAUACACAAUUAUAUAUACACAUAAAUGCACACACACACACUGCUCAGAUAUAUCAUUCACCUCGCCUCCUCAUUACAAUACCUGUUGAAAAACAUCAGUUUAAGCCUUUUUUUUAAACAGACUCAUGCUUGGACAUUACUUCAGCUCUUUCUGGAGUUUAUUCCAGACCUUCACACCACUGACUGAAAUGCACAUUCUCUUCGUGGUGGUUCCAACUCUCAAGGUUUUGAAGUUAUAAAAAAAAAAGAGAAAUUCUCCUAAAUUGUUAUAAGACAUUAAAAAAAAAUAUCCCAGUCAGUACUAUCAUAUCAAGUUUUCUUAACACACUAAAUAAUCAACACUUGAACAAAUGAACAAAGUGGAGUUACUUUAACCCAAAUUAAUUUUGCUGUUUCUAUUAAAAGUUUUGAUUUAAAAAAAACAAAUCAAACUAAGAUUGUGCUUGCAUGUGGUUUUGUAUCUCACAGAUUUCUUCACAAAUUGAUAUUUCCUAAUGAAGAACUGUUAUUGGAAUAUAAUGCUAAAGUCACUAUGGCCUGACACCACUUGGACAUGUGAGCACAGGAGACAUGAGAGUGGCUGCUCCACGGUUCUGCUGAUUGCCAAGGACAAAUGCUUGCAUGUUACUGUGCAGGAUACUGAUUGUCCCGGAUAUGACUGUCUCUGUUUUUUCUCACGGCAAGGCCACUGUCGGGUAUUAGACUUGGUGUUGAUGGUGCAAACAAAAUAAAAUAGAAUAGAUUUAUAUACAGAAGCUAUAUACACAGUAGACUGUGCAUUAAUGUAACGCAGAAGCUUGUA